GGAGCGUUGUAUGUAGGUAGAAGGUAUACCGUAAGGAGUGCUGGACAGCAUACAAGUGAGAAUGCCGGUAUAAGUAACGAAAAGACAAGUGAGAAUCUUGUCCGCCGAAAGCCCAAGGUUUCCUGAGGAAGGCUCGUCCGCUCAGGGUAAGUCGGGACCUAAGGUGAGGCCGAAAGGCGUAAUCGAAGGACAACAGGUUGAAAUUCCUGUACCACCGUAAACCGCUAUGAGCAAUUGGGGUGACGCAGAAGGGAACAGUUGCAGACUGAUGGAUAGGUCUGUUCAAGCAGUAAGGCUGGUGUGUAGGCAAAUCCGCACACCGUAUAAGGCUGAGCUGUGAUGAGGAGGGAACAUUGUAGUACCGAAGAACUCGCACUCAUGCUGCCAAGAAAAGCCUCUAGCCAGGUGAAGGUGCCCGUACCGCAAACCGACACAGGUAGGCGAGAAGAGAAUUCUAAGGCGCGCGGAAGAACUCUCGUUAAGGAACUCGGCAAAAUGACCCCGUAACUUCGGGAGAAGGGGUGCUCCGUUAGGGUUUAUAGCCCGAGGGAGCCGCAGUGAAAAGGCCCAAGCGACUGUUUAGCAAAAACACAGGUCUGUGCGAAGCCGUAAGGCGAAGUAUACGGGCUGACGCCUGCCCGGUGCUGGAAGGUUAAGGGGAAUGGUUAGUCCUUAAGGGCGAAGCUAUGAACCGAAGCCCCAGUAAACGGCGGCCGUAACUAUAACGGUCCUAAGGUAGCGAAAUUCCUUGUCAGGUAAAUUCUGACCCGCACGAAUGGCGUAACGAUUUGGGCGCUGUCUCAACGAGAGAUCCGGUGAAAUUUUAAUACCAGUGAAGAUGCUGGUUACCCGCGACAAGACGGAAAGACCCCAUGGAGCUUUACUACAACCUGAUAUUGAACUGGGGUACGAUUUGUACAGGAUAGGUGGGAGCCUUGGAAGCUGGUGCGCAAGCAUCGGUGGAGGCGCCCUUGGGAUACCACCCUGAUCGUAUUCGAGUUCUAACCUAGGCCCUUGAAUCAGGGUCGGGGACCGUGUCAGGCGGGUAGUUUGACUGGGGCGGUCGCCUCCUAAAGCGUAACGGAGGCGCCCUAAGGUUCCCUCAGAAUGGUUGGAAAUCAUUCGCAGAGUGCAAAGGCAAAAGGGAGCUUGACUGCAAGACGUACAGGUCGAGCAGGGACGAAAGUCGGGCUUAGUGAUCCGGUGGUACCGAAUGGAAGGGCCAUCGCUCAACGGAUAAAAGCUACCCUGGGGAUAACAGGCUUAUCUCCCCCAAGAGUCCACAUCGACGGGGAGGUUUGGCACCUCGAUGUCGGCUCAUCGCAUCCUGGGGCUGAAGUAGGUCCCAAGGGUUGGGCUGUUCGCCCAUUAAAGCGGUACGCGAGCUGGGUUCAGAACGUCGUGAGACAGUUCGGUCCCUAUCUGUCGUGGGCGUAGGAAAUUUGAGAGGAGCUGUCCUUAGUACGAGAGGACCGGGAUGGACGUACCGCUGGUGUACCAGUUGUUUCGCCAGAAGCAUAGCUGGGUAGCCAAGUACGGAAGGGAUAAGCGCUGAAAGCAUCUAAGCGUGAAGCCCCCCUCAAGAUGAGAUUUCCCAAUUUAGUAAGACCCCUUGAAGACGACGAGGUUGAUAGGUUCGGGGUGGAAGUGCAGCAAUGCAUGGAGC
RNAcentral lists this ribosomal RNA (1666 nucleotides) under Chengkuizengella marina. RNAcentral's name for it is "Bacterial large subunit ribosomal RNA". It matches the Rfam family "Bacterial large subunit ribosomal RNA", at positions 1233 to 2891 of the family's 2925-position model. Lineage: Bacteria; Bacillati; Bacillota; Bacilli; Caryophanales; Paenibacillaceae. The record is from Rfam by way of RNAcentral.